RNAcentral lists this ribosomal RNA (249 nucleotides) under uncultured Actinomycetales bacterium. RNAcentral's name for it is "partial 16S ribosomal RNA". It matches the Rfam family "Bacterial small subunit ribosomal RNA", at positions 84 to 334 of the family's 1533-position model. The record is from RNAcentral. Lineage: Bacteria; Bacillati; Actinomycetota; Actinomycetes; Actinomycetales.
GGGAUGCUCGAGUGGCGAACGGGUGAGUAACACGUGAGUAACCUGCCCUUGACUUUGGGGUAACUUCAGGAAACUGGGGCUAAUACCGGAUAGGAGCUCCUGCUGCAUGGUGGGGGUUGGAAAGUUUCGGCGGUUGGGGAUGGACUCGCGGCUUAUCAGCUUGUUGGUGGGGUAGUGGCCUACCAAGGCUUUGACGGGUAGCCGGCCUGAGAGGGUGACCGGCCACAUUGGGACUGAGAUACGGCCCAG